Molecule: ribosomal RNA, 1169 nt
Filed under: Staphylococcus kloosii
Lineage: Bacteria; Bacillati; Bacillota; Bacilli; Caryophanales; Staphylococcaceae
Description: bacterial SSU rRNA
Rfam family: Bacterial small subunit ribosomal RNA
Source: RNAcentral
GAUAAGGAGCUUGCUCCUUUGACGUUAGCGGCGGACGGGUGAGUAACACGUGGGUAACCUACCUAUAAGACUGGAAUAACUUCGGGAAACCGAAGCUAAUGCCGGAUAACAUGUAGAACCGCAUGGUUCUACAGUGAAAGAUGGCCUUGCUAUCACUUAUAGAUGGACCCGCGCCGUAUUAGCUAGUUGGUAAGGUAACGGCUUACCAAGGCAACGAUACGUAGCCGACCUGAGAGGGUGAUCGGCCACACUGGAACUGAGACACGGUCCAGACUCCUACGGGAGGCAGCAGUAGGGAAUCUUCCGCAAUGGGCGAAAGCCUGACGGAGCAACGCCGCGUGAGUGAUGAAGGUCUUCGGAUCGUAAAGCUCUGUUAUUAGGGAAGAACAAGUGCGUAAGUAACUGUGCGCACCUUGACGGUACCUAAUCAGAAAGCCACGGCUAACUACGUGCCAGCAGCCGCGGUAAUACGUAGGUGGCAAGCGUUAUCCGGAAUUAUUGGGCGUAAAGCGCGCGUAGGCGGUUUCUUAAGUCUGAUGUGAAAGCCCACGGCUCAACCGUGGAGGGUCAUUGGAAACUGGGAGACUUGAGUGCAGAAGAGGAAAGUGGAAUUCCAUGUGUAGCGGUGAAAUGCGCAGAGAUAUGGAGGAACACCAGUGGCGAAGGCGACUUUCUGGUCUGUAACUGACGCUGAUGUGCGAAAGCGUGGGGAUCAAACAGGAUUAGAUACCCUGGUAGUCCACGCCGUAAACGAUGAGUGCUAAGUGUUAAGGGGGUUUCCGCCCCUUAGUGCUGCAGCUAACGCAUUAAGCACUCCGCCUGGGGAGUACGACCGCAAGGUUGAAACUCAAAGGAAUUGACGGGGACCCGCACAAGCGGUGGAGCAUGUGGUUUAAUUCGAAGCAACGCGAAGAACCUUACCAAAUCUUGACAUCCUUUGACCACUCUGGAGACAGAGUUUUCCCCUUCGGGGGACAAAGUGACAGGUGGUGCAUGGUUGUCGUCAGCUCGUGUCGUGAGAUGUUGGGUUAAGUCCCGCAACGAGCGCAACCCUUAAGCUUANUUGCCAUCAUUAAGUUGGGCACUCUAAGUUGACUGCCGGUGACAAACCNGAGGAAAGGUGGGNAUGACGUCAAAUCAUCAUGCCCCUUANGAUUUGGGCUACACAC